AUGGAAAAAACUACCUCGUGGAGAAGAGUGAAUUACAAAUCCUCCGCGACCGAGGCCGCGCCGGGCUGUAAUUUCGGUUUGGCGCUGAUCCGCGCCGCUGCGGCUUGUCGAUGGCCUGAUUUAAGUUGUUGGGGCCCUGGGGAUGAAACCGGCCGCCCUCCUCGGUGCCUCUGCUGGGGUUUUGCGCUCUCUCCUAGCCCGGGCCUGAGGCGGCUUUUAAAGGAUUUUCCCCCAGGGUGGAGCUGUGUUAUCAGCGCUGCGCCAGAGCCUUGUCCCCCUCCAGCAAGCUGCGCGGGAUUACCAGGUCUUCCUCCAGGGAGCAAGCCAGGACAUCUGGAAGCAGAGAAGACCCCGGAGAUUUACACCCCUGCAUCCGGCCGCUCCUUCCCCACCUCUUCUGGACAUAAAGAGGGUUGGAGAACAACCCCGUGGUACAGCUGGGGCACCCAGCUCCCUCCGCACCUCAUUAAUACCCUGAUUUAAUUGCUAAUUAAUAGUCUGCACCUCCCACCCGCAGCUCUCCAUCCCUUAAGGGUGCUGUAAUGGGUCUCUAGGGUGAAAAUUGAUUAUUUUUUUUUUCAAUUAACGGGUGUUUGGUGCAUUCGGACUUUCCAACCAAAUUUUGCAAGCUCUUGGGAUGCCUGCCCCCCGGCCCAGGCUUCGUUUGCCGCUCAUUAAAUCACCGCUUUUCCCCCCAUUUUCCCCUCCAGACACCUUUGAGCCGCUCCACCGCCGCGCGCCAGGGCGUUGUUCUUCUGGGAGAAGUCCUCGAGCUCCGCUUCGAGCUCCAGCGGCCGCAGCCUCCGCUCCGUGCUCCUCGUUGGGGGGAAAAAAUCAGAAUUUAACGCCGCGGCUCCUGGCCAGGAAAUCCCAAAUCCCCCACCCCCAGUGUGCUGCAAAUCCAGGGGGAAAGCGAAAUAUAGCGGAGUUUUGUGCCCCAAAAAUAGAGGAUUUUAUGGCCCAAAAAUAGAGGAUUUUGUGCCCCAAAAUAGAGGGUUUUAUAGCCCCAGAAUAGAGGGUUUUAUGGCCCCAAAGUAGAGUUGUUGUGUUUUUCUUUUUUUUUUUUUUUGUGCCCCAAAAUAGAGGGGUUUGGGGCCCAAAAAUAGGGGAGGUUGUGCCCCAAAAAUAGAGGAGCUUCAUGCCCCCAAAAUAGAGUUCUGUGCCCCAAAAAUAGAGAUUUUUUUAAGCCCCCAAAAUAGAGGGUUUUUUGUGCCCCUAAAAUAGAGGGUUUUUUGUGCCCCAAAAAUAGAGGGCUUUUUGUGCCCCCAAAGUAGAGGAUUUUUUUGCCUCAAAGUAGAGGUUUUGUGUGCCCCCAGAAAUAGAGGAGUUUUGUGCCCCAAAGUAGAGGAGCUUUGUGCCCCUAAAAUAGUUUUUUUUUUUGCCCCAAAAUAGAAGGGUUUUUGGGCACACCCCAAAGUAGAGGAGCUUUGUGCCCCCAAAACAGAGGAUUUUAUGCCCCAAAUUAGAGGGAUUUUUGCCCCAA
This 1483-nucleotide long non-coding RNA is filed under the name Anser cygnoides (Swan goose). RNAcentral describes it as "lncRNA (ENSACDG00005014579.1)". The record is from RNAcentral. Lineage: Eukaryota; Metazoa; Chordata; Aves; Anseriformes; Anatidae.